RNAcentral lists this ribosomal RNA (498 nucleotides) under uncultured bacterium. RNAcentral's name for it is "bacterial SSU rRNA". It matches the Rfam family "Bacterial small subunit ribosomal RNA", at positions 28 to 513 of the family's 1533-position model. The record is from RNAcentral.
GAUGAACGCUAGCUACAGGCUUAACACAUGCAAGUCGAGGGGAAACGACAGGGAGUGCUUGCACACUCUGGGCGUCGACCGGCGCACGGGUGAGUAACGCGUAUCCAACCUGCCCACCACUUGGGAAUAACCUUGCGAAAGUAAGACUAAUGCCCAAUGAUAUUGAGUGCAGACAUCUAAUCUCAAUUAAAGAUUUAUCGGUGAUGGAUGGGGAUGCGUCCGAUUAGCUUGUUGGCGGGGUAACGGCCCACCAAGGCAACGAUCGGUAGGGGUUCUGAGAGGAAGGUCCCCCACAUUGGAACUGAGACACGGUCCAAACUCCUACGGGAGGCAGCAGUGAGGAAUAUUGGUCAAUGGGCGAGAGCCUGAACCAGCCAAGUAGCGUGCAGGAUGACGGCCCUAUGGGUUGUAAACUGCUUUUAUAAGGGAAUAAAGUGGGGCUCGUGAGCUCUUUUGCAUGUACCUUAUGAAUAAGGACCGGCUAAUUCCGUGCCAGCA